RNAcentral lists this ribosomal RNA (962 nucleotides) under uncultured Alphaproteobacteria bacterium. RNAcentral's name for it is "bacterial SSU rRNA". It matches the Rfam family "Bacterial small subunit ribosomal RNA", at positions 61 to 1066 of the family's 1533-position model. Lineage: Bacteria; Pseudomonadati; Pseudomonadota; Alphaproteobacteria. The record is from RNAcentral.
GUCGAACGAAGUAGCAAUACUUAGUGGCAGACGGGUGAGUAACAUGUAGGUAUCUGCCCUUUGGCCUGGAAUAACACGAGGAAACUUGUGCUAAUACCGGAUAAGUCUUUACGGAGAAAGCUUUAUGCACCAUUGGAGGAGCCUGCACUAGAUUAGUUUGUUGGUGGGGUAAUGGCCUACCAAGACUGUGAUCUAUAGCUGAUUUGAGAGGAUGAUCAGCCACAUUGGGACUGAGACACGGCCCAAACUCCUACGGGAGGCAGCAGUGGGGAAUCUUGCACAAUGGAGGAAACUCUGAUGCAGCGAUGCCGCGUGAGUGAAGAAGGCCCUUGGGUUGUAAAGCUCUUUCGUCGGGGAAGAAAAUGACUGUACCCGAAUAAGAAGGUCCGGCUAACUUCGUGCCAGCAGCCGCGGUAAUACGAAGGGACCUAGCGUAGUUCGGAUUUACUGGGCUUAAAGAGUUCGUAGGUGGUUGAAAAAGUUGGUGGUGAAAUCCCAGAGCUUAACUCUGGAACUGCCAUCAAAACUUUUCAGCUAGAGUAUGAUAGAGGAAAGCAGAAUUUCUAGUGUAGAGGUGAAAUUCGUAGAUAUUAGAAAGAAUACCAAUUGCGAAGGCAGCUUUCUGGAUCAUUACUGACACUGAGGAACGAAAGCAUGGGUAGCGAAGAGGAUUAGAUACCCCCGUAGUCCAUGCCGUAAACGAUGUGUGUUAGACGUUGGAAAUUUAUUUUCAGUGUCGCAGCGAAAGCGAUAAACACACCGCCUGGGGAGUACGACCGCAAGGUUAAAACUCAAAUGAAUUGACGGGGACCCGCACAAGUAGUGGAGCAUGUGGUUUAAUUCGAAGAUACGCGCAGAACCUUACCAACACUUGACAUGUUCGUCGCGACUCUAAGAGAUUAGAGUUUUCGGGUUCGGCCGGACGAAACACAGGUGCUGCAUGGCUGUCGUCAGCUCGUGUC